AGUGAACGCUGGCGGUAUGCCUAACACAUGCAAGUCGAACGGCAGCACAGUAAGAGCUUGCUCUUACGGGUGGCGAGUGGCGGACGGGUGAGGAAUACAUCGGAAUCUACUUUUUCGUGGGGGAUAACGUAGGGAAACUUACGCUAAUACCGCAUACGACCUACGGGUGAAAGCAGGGGAUCUUCGGACCUUGCGCGAUUGAAUGAGCCGAUGUCGGAUUAGCUAGUUGGCGGGGUAAAGGCCCACCAAGGCGACGAUCCGUAGCUGGUCUGAGAGGAUGAUCAGCCACACUGGAACUGGGACACGGUCCAGACUCCUACGGGAGGCAGCAGUGGGGAAUAGUGGACAAUGGGCGCAAGCCUGAUCCAGCCAUACCGGGUGGGUGAAGAAGGCCUUCGGGUUGUAAAGCCCUUUUGUUGGGAAAGAAAAGCAGCAGGUUAAUACCCCACUGUUCUGACGGUACCCAAAGAAUAAGCACCGGCUAACUUCGUG
RNAcentral lists this ribosomal RNA (492 nucleotides) under uncultured bacterium. RNAcentral describes it as "partial 16S ribosomal RNA". It matches the Rfam family "Bacterial small subunit ribosomal RNA", at positions 29 to 507 of the family's 1533-position model. The record is from RNAcentral.